This is a non-coding RNA of Meleagris gallopavo (turkey), 1471 nucleotides long. The record is from RefSeq and is a predicted model, not a curated record. NCBI's taxonomy places the organism in Eukaryota, Metazoa, Chordata, Aves, Galliformes, Phasianidae.
GGAGGCAGUAGUGUCUUGUAUGGAAAUCUCUGCUCAUCUGAGGAUCUUAUGGGCCUUCUGAAGCUAUGUAUUUUAGAAGAACUGUCCUUCAGCUCCCAGGUUCCCCAGUGGUCUUCAAUGAAAUAACAAGCUAGUUUUUCUGCCAGAAUCUACUGCUGAGGGCAACAGUACAUUUCUUCUCCUUCAGGCUGAAUUAUCCAAGUAUUUAUCUGUUCUGUCAGACAUGGAGGGGCAGGACCAAAUAUCUGUAGGUAUCUACACCUGGGUUUUUAACAGUGUUCUAUGUGGACACAGCACAGCAACACAGCAGCACAUCGAGAGAUGCAUGCAUAAAUUGAAAUGAGAAGAAUGUGAUGCAGUGAGUUAUAGCUUAAAACUCCUGUUAUCUUUUGCCCGUGACAAUUCGUGCUGUCCGUCUUCUUACUGGAACGUAGGAAACGAACGUUCCUGUCAGACCGACGAACUGCAGUGUUUUAGUGCCGCCUUGUGUUAACGUUUGGAAGUGCAGGUAAAGGAAAUUAUCUGAAGAUGAAUUUCAGUUUGCUCAGGCAUAACAAACAAAUUCCUGCAUUUUUUUUAUUUCUUCUCUAAUAACGUUCCAAGACAAUUUAAGGCUUCUCAGAAACAUUUUUUUAUUUCAAUGACAGGGAACAAGCUUAACUCAGCUACUGAAAUAACUGUGGCUCAAAAAAUUAUUCUGUGCUAGGAAGUAGUGUUGCCUGGGUAAACAUAAUGCUGGGGUCACUGCUAUUAGACCCUCAGGUCUCAGUAGAUGGACUUCUUUCAGACAAAGACAGUUACAUGGAAAAGUCUCUCUGUGCAGUGCCUGGUGUAUUCCAGGUAAACUGGCAUGCUACUCAGUUUUCAGGUAGGAAUGCUGGACUCUUCCAUGAAACAGGGAUGCAGGACUUCUGCCUUGCAUCAUCUGUACUCAUAUUCUACUUGUCUCUUUCACGGGGAAUCUGGCUUGAUGUUUGGAAGCAGCAUAAAACUUUACCAGAGGAGGCUCAGACUUGAUAUUGGGGAAAAACUUCUUUGCUGUGAGGGUGGUUGAACAUUGGAGCAGGCUUCCUAGAGAGGUGGUUGAUGUCCCAUGGCUGUCAGUGUUUAAGAGGUAUUUGAGUAAUGACAUUAACAUAUUUAACUUCUGGUUAGCCCUCAAGAAGUCAGGAAGUUGGAAUAGAUCUUUGAAUAUCCUGUCCAGCUAUUCUGUUCUAUUUUAUAGGGAAGAGGUAGUUUGAAAAAAUAUCCUGAUAAUGCUGUUAUGUUGAAGAUUACUUUAAUUCAAUUAUUUCCACAUUGUAGGCCUAAACUCUUGAGUAAGAUGUUUUCUAUGGCUACCAGCUCUGCCUUACUCACCCUGAGAAUUCAGGUUCAUGCUAGAUUAUUUCCACUUUACACACUGUCAUCAGCAAUAAAGACUAUUCCAUGUGAAUUCUGUCCACUCUGAUACCUUUGUCCCCUGAUUGGC